AUACUUACCUGGACGGGGUCAAUGGGCGAUCAUCAAGGCUCAUGGCCUAGGCUAGUGGCUUCCAUUGCACUUGGGAAGGGCGCGCGCCUAAGGUCUCCCCAAGUGGGAGAGUCUACGUCAUUAUUUGUGACAGUGGGGGCCUGCGUUCGCGCGACCCCCGA
This is a small nuclear RNA of Hibiscus syriacus, 161 nucleotides long. RefSeq annotates it as U1 spliceosomal RNA. Lineage: Eukaryota; Viridiplantae; Streptophyta; Magnoliopsida; Malvales; Malvaceae. The transcript has a single exon. The record is from RefSeq and is a predicted model, not a curated record.